This 476-nucleotide long non-coding RNA is filed under the name Dasypus novemcinctus (nine-banded armadillo). Its description in RNAcentral is "lncRNA (ENSDNOG00000051025.1)". Lineage: Eukaryota; Metazoa; Chordata; Mammalia; Cingulata; Dasypodidae. The record is from RNAcentral.
UGCGGCCCCCCAGGUGCAGGUGUGGGCCCAGCGCAGUGACCCGUAGCAGCGAUUACUCAAACUCUGUGCGCUGGCGGGAGGCACGCUGCCCGGCACGGCACGGCGCCUUCAAAGAGAGUUUGUUUUGGUUUAAUGUUCCCAAAGAGAAAAUAAUCUGAACCUCCAAAGACGUGCGUCAAGUGAGAUGAUGUGGCUUUCACCACUACGGAGGCGUGCAUCCAGGGUGCGCAUACGGAGCUGUCACCAUCAUGCUUCUCAGGCUCAGCGUGAUUCCCGUGGCGCCUGCGGCUGCAUCACAGUCCCUCUCCUGGGCCGUGGCCUGCACUUCGUCCCCACGCCAACCCGUCUCCAGUUCUGCUGCCUCCUAAGGGUCUCCAUCGACCAGGGCUGCCAUCCCCGAUACCACAGGCCGGUCACCUUAAUUGGCCCACAGUUUGGAGGUGCGGUGGUUUGGAGCCCUGUACCCAGAAAAACAU